ACCUGACUGCUAUCGGAUUGAUACUAAGCCAUGCGAGUCAUUGUAGCAAUACAAGGCAUACGGCUCAGUAACGCGUAGUCAACCUAACCUAUGGACGGGAAUAACCUCGGGAAACUGAGAAUAAUGCCCGAUAGAACAUUAUGCCUGGAAUGGUUUAUGUUCCAAAUGAUUUAUCGCCAUAGGAUGGGACUGCGGCCUAUCAGUUUGUUGGUGAGGUAAUGGCCCACCAAGACUAUUACAGGUACGGGCUCUGAGAGGAGUAGCCCGGAGAUGGGUACUGAGACACGGACCCAGGCCCUAUGGGGCGCAGCAGGCGAGAAAACUUUGCAAUGUGCGAAAGCACGACAAGGUUAAUCCGAGUGAUUUCUGCUAAAGAGAUCUUUUGUUAGUCCUAGAAACACUAACGAAUAAGGGGUGGGCAAGUUCUGGUGUCAGCCGCCGCGGUAAAACCAGCACCUCAAGUGGUCAGGAUGAUUAUUGGGCCUAAAGCAUCCGUAGCCGGCUCUGUAAGUUUUCGGUUAAAUCCGUACGCUCAACGUACAGGCUGCCGGGAAUACUGCAGAACUAGGGAGUGGGAGAGGUAGACGGUACUCGGUAGGAAGUGGUAAAAUGCUUUGAUCUAUCGAUGACCACCUGUGGCGAAGGCGGUCUACCAGAACACGUCCGACGGUGAGGGAUGAAAGCUGGGGGAGCAAACCGGAUUAGAUACCCGGGUAGUCCCAGCUGUAAACUAUGCAAACUCAGUGAUGCAUUGGCUUGUGGCCAAUGCAGUGCUGCAGGGAAGCCGUUAAGUUUGCCGCCUGGGAAGUACGUACGCAAGUAUGAAACUUAAAGGAAUUGGCGGGGGAGCACCACAAGGGGUGAAGCCUGCGGUUC
RNAcentral lists this ribosomal RNA (876 nucleotides) under uncultured crenarchaeote. RNAcentral describes it as "bacterial SSU rRNA". It matches the Rfam family "Archaeal small subunit ribosomal RNA", at positions 21 to 903 of the family's 1478-position model. Lineage: Archaea; Thermoproteati; Thermoproteota. The record is from RNAcentral.